UUCUACAUUCCGAAUGUCUCCUUGGAUAUUUUUAGAUUUAUCUAAGUUGUUUAAUGGGAUAUUAUAAGAUUAAAGGCGAGGCUGUAAAUCUAAUUUGUGAAGAUAUAUUCUAUCAUGUAACCUUAAACCAUCCAGUCCAACAUAAUUUUGAUUUUGAGUGUCACAAAUUUUAACUUUUCACCCUAUUUGGGGUCUGUUGGCAUUUUUCUUUUUUACAGAACUAUUAUUAACUAGCAAAAUAAACAUAUAAUUUUAACUAAACGUCCCACCCUUUGAACUUUAAACACUUUCUUUAUUAAACAGAUAAUCAUAAAAAAUAUAAAAUUGAAAAUGGGUAUUGCAGUUGUUUUUGCAACCCACUAUUGAAAUAAUUAAUUAAAUUGUAUAUUAAAUAUUUUAUUUUCCAAGGUACAUUAAUAAAAUACUAAGUUAACUCAACCUUACAAAAAUGACAAUGAAAAAGGAACUAUGAGCUAUUUUUUACUUUUCCUCAUUUACUUCAUCCAAACAGAAAUUGUAUAAAUGUAGUGGGUUUUCAGAUGAUAACAUGUUAUCAACGAAUAAUUGGCAUCACCUUGAUAAAGGUUUGCAAAUAUUUACAUGAACCAAACAGUGCGAACACUAAUAAUAAUUGUAUCACAUGUGAGAAUAUUUCCGCAUCAGUUCUGUAUUUUUGUUGAACAUCUGAAGUAUUUUCUGUGCCAACAAGUAGUGUUUUCACGACAAUAUUUGUUGCUAUGGCAAUAAGUUAGAUUGCUCGGAAAAUUACCACACACAUGGAUAACAUUUGAUUUCUUAGACAAUGAGAUCAAUGGAAACCAUACAAUACUAAUGUUAAGUAACCCAAUGUACUGUAAGAUAAACCAAAAACAACAACGAUGAAGUAUAUGUGUGCUCUAGUAGUCAUCACUGCUUUGGUAACAAUGGCUAUGGUUGGAAUUCAAGCCAGCGUGAACUACGUGUGUUCUCCUGCUGGAAAGUCGUGUGAGAUUCUGAUAUGUUGCCCCGGAACGAGCUGUUCACCUGCAAAUGUUUGCGUAUCCCACUGCAGUGAUGGAAACAUGGCUUAGUACUUUCUCAUCAGACACUGCUGCAAAUGUUUUUGCAAUAAAAAUGUGUUGUUGAUAAUAAAAAGCUUGCAUUACUAAUUUUAAA
This is a long non-coding RNA of Homalodisca vitripennis (glassy-winged sharpshooter), 1155 nucleotides long. RefSeq lists it as uncharacterized. The record is from RefSeq and is a predicted model, not a curated record. NCBI's taxonomy places the organism in Eukaryota, Metazoa, Arthropoda, Insecta, Hemiptera, Cicadellidae. The transcript is spliced from 4 exons.